Molecule: transfer RNA, 72 nt
Filed under: Camelus dromedarius (Arabian camel)
Lineage: Eukaryota; Metazoa; Chordata; Mammalia; Artiodactyla; Camelidae
Also listed under: 1 other name
Rfam family: tRNA
About the family: Transfer RNA (tRNA) molecules are approximately 80 nucleotides in length. Their secondary structure includes four short double-helical elements and three loops (D, anti-codon, and T loops).
Source: Rfam by way of RNAcentral
GAAGGUAUAGCUCAGUAGUAGAGCUCACACUUAGCAUGUAUGAGGUCCUCGGUUCAAUCCCCAGUACCUCCA